This 906-nucleotide long non-coding RNA is filed under the name Volvox carteri. RNAcentral's name for it is "long non-coding RNA (VCAR_LNC002969)". The record is from RNAcentral. Lineage: Eukaryota; Viridiplantae; Chlorophyta; Chlorophyceae; Chlamydomonadales; Volvocaceae.
ACGUCUGCAGGUUUGUAAUAUGUUCAUGUGUGGGGGGGGAAAAGAGGAAGGGGGAUAAGGGCAGGGGGAAGAGGAAGGGGGAAAAGGCAGGGGUUAAGGGAAGGCGGAGUGAUAGGGCAAUGGGGCCUCACACGACACCGCUCGGGCGGAGACGCACCUUGAGGCAGCGCCUGAUGUGCUAAGCUGGAGUUGGUGGAGGUGGAGGGGAGGGUUUGUUCGGGGGCCCGGAGCUCAACAAGCACCUGCGCUAGUCGGGCACGGGAUGGGAUGGGGUGGGAAUUUUUUUUAUGUGAGACGGGAUUUCUUCCUGGGAAAAAGGGGGGAACUUUCUCCCCAUCGGCCGAUGGUGGCCUGGCUGGUGGUGGCAUUGGCAUGGGGAGCUGGAUUGGGGCUGCUUUCCUCCAUUUUUCAUUGAUUGGAUUAAGCAAGAGGUUGUAAGCAGGGGGAAGGUGUUGUAUAGGGAGACGAGAGAUUUGGGUUUACACGUGCGUGAUUUAGGAAAGCGCGGGGCCCGGUGGCGAGGGGGCGAUGGUGGGUGCAUCACUGCAUUCUCGUGGAUCGUCGCCGGGGACGAUAACAAUUCGUCGCCAACCCCGCAGCACCUCCAUGGUUUCACCUUGCUGGUGCUCUUCGGAGGCAGCUCGAGGACCAGAUGGGGCGGCUUGGGCUUGAGCUCCGUGUGAAGAUCAGCUGGCGCGGUCAACCGGAAGUUUGGCGAGAACGGAUACGAGAUGACCGUGAGCAGCGCGCGGUUGGUGUUAUUCUUGAUGAGCAAGUUUCUGGUUUGGGGUGCAGAGGAAGGUAACGUAGAGCUGUUUUUAAACACGACUUCGCUGGGCACUGUGUACACCUCGGCUUCCAUUAUCUUAGAGGGCUAGACCGCUUUGCGCGGACAUCAGCGUGACG